GCACGGUCUUCUGAGUCCCUCUUCCCCACAGCUGGCCGCCGUCCUCCCUGACUCCAGGGGCCCCUGAGGCUGCAGAGGAAGAGGCUUACUCUUUAGGUUCGGCCUCCGCUUGCUUCCUGAAGCGUGGAACUCGGAGCAGGACCUGCAGUCGCUGGGACCUCUCGAUACUCUAGUCAGUGGACAUCACAUCCAGCAACUUGCCCAGGGUCACGCAGGGCUGAGCGAGGAACUGAAGGAUUCUCCAGCUCCUCCUCUGAUCUCUCUGCUUCCUGCCUGCCACGCCAUGGACUG
This is a long non-coding RNA of Heterocephalus glaber (naked mole-rat), 291 nucleotides long. RefSeq lists it as uncharacterized. The record is from RefSeq and is a predicted model, not a curated record. NCBI's taxonomy places the organism in Eukaryota, Metazoa, Chordata, Mammalia, Rodentia, Bathyergidae.